UUCACUUCUUAGCCUUUUGGCUAAGAUCAAGUAUAAUAUCUGUUCUUAUCAGUUUACUAUCUGAUACAUCCUCUUUCUACAGACAGUAUAUUACAUGAUUUUUGGAGCAGGAAAUGGAAUAGGAGCUUGCUUAAUUCACUCCAUCCAACAGCCUUCUAUUGUAGUAUCUCCAGGAAUGGUGCAACUCCC
Molecule: small nuclear RNA, 189 nt
Organism: Heterocephalus glaber (naked mole-rat)
Lineage: Eukaryota; Metazoa; Chordata; Mammalia; Rodentia; Bathyergidae
Gene: U2
Rfam family: U2 spliceosomal RNA
About the family: U2 is a small nuclear RNA (snRNA) component of the spliceosome (involved in pre-mRNA splicing).
Source: Ensembl